Molecule: small nucleolar RNA, 78 nt
Filed under: Canis lupus dingo (dingo)
Lineage: Eukaryota; Metazoa; Chordata; Mammalia; Carnivora; Canidae
Source: RNAcentral
GCCCAGCUACAGAGUCUCAGGAAACUGUUCUGAUCCUCCACUGUGGACUCAGUGCAGGGGGACAGAGAACCCGGGGGC